RNAcentral lists this unclassified non-coding RNA (378 nucleotides) under uncultured fungus. Its description in RNAcentral is "partial contains small subunit ribosomal RNA, internal transcribed spacer 1, and 5.8S ribosomal RNA". The stretch from base 1 to 147 matches the Rfam family "Eukaryotic small subunit ribosomal RNA", at positions 1759 to 1831 of the family's 1831-position model. The record is from RNAcentral. Lineage: Eukaryota; Fungi.
GCAAACUUGGUCAUUUAGAGGAAGUAAAAGUCGUAACAAGGUUUCCGUAGGUAAGUGAAAGCUUUCCAUCUUACACCCCCUACAACCCAUUGCUUGAAUAACGUGCUGACCUUUUCCCUUUUAGGUGAACCUGCGGAAGGAUCAUUACCGAGUGCGAACCCCCCCAUAAAAAAGGGGGGUCACCUCCCGUCCUUUGCUGGGCAUCCCCUCCAAUCGGAUGGGGGUUGUUUUUUCAGACCUUUCUGCUUCGGCGGGGUUACCUGCCGAAACAACCUUCAAAAUAUUCUCAGUCAAACCGUUCAGUCCGAGAACUUUUUUGAAAAGCGAAAAACUUUCAACAACGGAUCUCUUGGUUCUGGCAUCGAUGAAGAACGCAGC